Coffea arabica (coffee) is the source of this 299-nucleotide long non-coding RNA. RefSeq lists it as uncharacterized. The record is from RefSeq and is a predicted model, not a curated record. NCBI's taxonomy places the organism in Eukaryota, Viridiplantae, Streptophyta, Magnoliopsida, Gentianales, Rubiaceae.
UAAAUUCAAUUUAAAGUCGAAUUUUCUUUGAUGGCACGGGAUAUUUUAAGUAUUUCUAUCACUACAGUGGCCUUGGAAUCAGCUUUCAGUAUUGGUGGUAGAAUUGUGGGUAAAUAUCGUACUUCGCUCCUACCAGAAAAUGUGGAGGUCUUGUUAUGUGCUAGGGACUGGUUAUAUGGAGUAACAGCUUCUGAAGAUGAAGAAGAUAAAGAAAGACUGAGUAUUGACUUUGCACCUUUAGUUGCUAAACUUACUAACCUUCAUGUUUAGGAAUCUUCUCUGUUUUGUGUUGAGCCAAC